This 76-nucleotide transfer RNA is filed under the name Methanobacteriota archaeon. Its description in RNAcentral is "Euryarchaeota archaeon (marine metagenome) tRNA-Glu". It matches the Rfam family "tRNA". From Rfam's summary of the family: Transfer RNA (tRNA) molecules are approximately 80 nucleotides in length. Their secondary structure includes four short double-helical elements and three loops (D, anti-codon, and T loops). RNAcentral also lists the same sequence under 1 other name. Lineage: Archaea; Methanobacteriati; Methanobacteriota. The record is from RNAcentral.
GCUCGCGUAGUGUAGCGGUCCAUCAUGAAGGCCUCUCGAGCCUUCGACUCGGGUUCAAAUCCCGGCGCGAGCACCA